Molecule: ribosomal RNA, 292 nt
Filed under: uncultured Gaiellales bacterium
Lineage: Bacteria; Bacillati; Actinomycetota; Thermoleophilia; Gaiellales
Description: partial 16S ribosomal RNA
Rfam family: Bacterial small subunit ribosomal RNA
Source: RNAcentral
GUGUCAGCCGCCGUGGUAAUACGUAGGGGGCAAGCGUUGUCCGGAUUUACUGGGCGUAAAGAGCGUGUAGGCGGCCAAACAGGUCCGUUGUGAAAACUGGAGGCUUAACCUCCAGACGUCGACGGAAACCGUGUGGCUAGAGUCCGGAAGAGGAGAGUGGAAUUCCUGGUGUAGCGGUGAAAUGCGCAGAUAUCAGGAAGAACACCAAUGGCGAAGGCAGCUCUCUGGGACGGUACUGACGCUGAGACGCGAAAGCGUGGGGAGCGAACAGGAUUAGAUACCCUAGUAGUCC